UUUCACCGUAGCUGCCCUCGGAGGCCAAGGUGGAGACAUAAUUCCACUUGAGGGCUUUGACAAUGUCCACCAUGGCCUGGGCCUGGGGCUCUGAUCUGCGCGUUGGGGAUCUCUGACUGGAGCCGGUGCAUGAGACUCCAUUAAAAUUCUGCUCAGCAGGGCACUGGCGAUGGAGACUUCCCAGCUAUUCCCCACGGCACCGCUGUCCCACCCAAGUUCCAACAGCCUGCCCUGGCCUGCCCAUC
Poecile atricapillus (Black-capped chickadee) is the source of this 245-nucleotide long non-coding RNA. RefSeq lists it as uncharacterized. The transcript has 3 exons. NCBI's taxonomy places the organism in Eukaryota, Metazoa, Chordata, Aves, Passeriformes, Paridae. The record is from RefSeq and is a predicted model, not a curated record.